UACGAAGGGGGCAAGCGUUGUUCGGAAUCACUGGGCGUAAAGCGCACGUAGGCGGCGGGUUAAGUCAGGUGUGAAAUCCUGGAGCUCAACUCCGGAACUGCAUUUGAUACUGGCGCACUCGAGUGUGGGAGAGGUUGGUGGAACUCCGGGUGUAGAGGUGAAAUUCGUAGAUAUUCGGAAGAACACCAGUGGCGAAGGCGGCCAACUGGCCCAUUACUGACGCUGAGGUGCGAAAGCGUGGGGAGCAAACAGG
Molecule: ribosomal RNA, 253 nt
Filed under: uncultured bacterium
Lineage: Bacteria
Description: partial 16S ribosomal RNA
Rfam family: Bacterial small subunit ribosomal RNA
Source: RNAcentral